Small nuclear RNA from Pan paniscus (pygmy chimpanzee), 107 nucleotides. Lineage: Eukaryota; Metazoa; Chordata; Mammalia; Primates; Hominidae. The record is from Ensembl.
GUGCUCGCUUCAGCAGCACAUACACUAAAAUUGGAACGAUACAGAGAAGAUCAGCACGGCCCCUGCGGAAGAAUGACAUGCAAAUUCAUGAAGCGUUCCAUAUUUUU